UGGGGAAUAUUGGACAAUGGGCGAAAGCCUGAUCCAGCCAUGCCGCGUGAGUGAUGAAGGCCCUAGGGCUGUAAAGCUCUUUUGUGCGGGAAGAUAAUGACGGUACCGCAAGAAUAAGCCCCGGCUAACUUCGUGCCAGCAGCCGCGGUAAUACGAAGGGGGCUAGCGUUGCUCGGAAUCACUGGGCGUAAAGGGUGCGUAGGCGGGUUUCUAAGUCAGAGGUGAAAGCCUGGAGCUCAACUCCAGAACUGCCUUUGAUACUGGAAGUCUUGAGUUCGGGAGAGGUGAGUGGAACUGCGAGUGUAGAGGUGAAAUUCGUAGAUAUUCGCAAGAACACCAGUGGCGAAGGCGGCUCACUGGCCCGAUACUGACGCUGAGGCACGAAAGCGUGGGGAGCAAACA
Molecule: ribosomal RNA, 402 nt
Filed under: uncultured bacterium
Lineage: Bacteria
Description: bacterial SSU rRNA
Rfam family: Bacterial small subunit ribosomal RNA
Source: RNAcentral